Molecule: long non-coding RNA, 1001 nt
Filed under: Anser cygnoides (Swan goose)
Lineage: Eukaryota; Metazoa; Chordata; Aves; Anseriformes; Anatidae
Description: lncRNA (ENSACDG00005002159.1)
Source: RNAcentral
UCAUCAAACAUACAACACAUGGCGGUGUUUGCUGCAAUCAGGGGACAGCACCUUUGUGUGCCUGACCCCUGGCACUGCUGCAGGAGACGAGGGAAACUUCAGAGAUACCCUACGGGAUGCCGAAUUUGCAAGGCUCCCCAUUCAUUCUCUGGAGUUGGGAGCUCAGACGAAGAGCGAGGACAGAAGGUGAGAACAUUGGCUCUCCCGGCCAAGAACUGUCACCAUCUUUGUGAGUCGUAUGAGUUCCCCCAGAGCUAAGGGAACCUUAUUUUCUUAAGUUACUUUGGCUCUUUGACCAUUAAAUACCCACGUGGAUGCUGCCCGAGCUUUGUUGGCCAGAUCCCAUGGGGGGAGACCUCUUGCCAGCUGCCACUAGCAGAGCUCCUUGCCAUCAUCCGUCCUCCUACCCACGCUGGAAACUGAACAGAAUCAAGCCACUGGGUGUCAAAGUGAGCUACAGAAGAAUCUGUCCCUUCAAAGAAAUUUUCAUAAAGCAAAAUUCGUAUCCUCGCUAACAAAACACUUGUCAACAGUAAAUUAGUGUUUAUUUAUUUGUUGAAUGCACACAUCUUUUACUUUUUUUUUUUCUUCAUUACAGAAUCUUGGGCUAAACAAUUUAGAUCCUGCAUUAUCUCAAUGUCAAUAAGUAUGAUUUUUUUUUUGCUAAAGAAAAAGCGUGCCAUAUUGCAGACAACCUAAAGUCAUAACUCAAGACAACACAAUCAUGUCAUAAUAUAAUUUUAUACAAUGAGAUUGUAUCUGUUGUUAUUGAGGGUCAUUGAAUUCCGUCUGUCAGUGUUAUUUUAUUGAAUAGGUUCAAGUAAUAGUUUGUGCUGAUUAUCAGAAAGUAUGUUUAAAAACUGUCACUGUGUUUAUAUCCUUCAGGGUUGCAUUUAAAUUAUGUAGAUAAACAGGAUCAAGCAGUGUGUACUGCAAUGAAGUACAGUCCUUGAUAGAAAUUUCAGAAUAAAAUUUAUGUGAAAAUUUCUGGUAGAACUUUG